UUUCCGUAGGUGAACCUGCGGAAGGAUCAUUACCGAAUUGUCAACAAGAGUUGUUGCUGGUCUUCAAAACGAGGGCAUGUGCACGCUCUGUUUACACAUCCACUCACACCUGUGCACUUUCUGUAGUUCUAUAGCUGGGGAGGCCCUGCCUUCCUUCUGUAGUCCUAUGUCCCUUCACACACACACUCAGUGAUAAAGUCUCGUGGAAUGUAAGCCGCAUUUAACGCAAUACAAUACAACUUUCAGCAACGGAUCUCUUGGCUCUC
RNAcentral lists this unclassified non-coding RNA (266 nucleotides) under plant metagenome. Its description in RNAcentral is "partial contains small subunit ribosomal RNA, internal transcribed spacer 1, and 5.8S ribosomal RNA". The record is from RNAcentral.